Molecule: long non-coding RNA, 2248 nt
Organism: Oncorhynchus masou masou (cherry salmon)
Lineage: Eukaryota; Metazoa; Chordata; Actinopteri; Salmoniformes; Salmonidae
Exons: 4
Source: RefSeq, a predicted model, not a curated record
CACUUGAUGACGAUGUGUUAGGAGCUUUAAAAAAAUAAUAAUACUAGUAGCUACCGUUAGCUAAACAACGAACGUUAACUUCGUUGAAAAUGGCAGCACAUCUCAAAAAAAGCACCUGUCAGACACAUAUUUCAGCGUGAGGAAUAAAUGCCUGCAACUCCUGAGUUGCCUGUGAAAUGUGGACACGCCCCUAAAUAAAGACGGACAGGUAUUGGUUCCAGCUAUGAUUGGGGGCGGUGCUUCAGGUGUGUAUAUUUAUUUGCGUUAACCAGGGUAGUUGAGUCAACAACAAAGAAUAUUCACUACAUUACAUGUUUAUACUUAAUUUAACCAGACUAGUCCCCUCAUCACAUCACCAUGUCUGUGAGAGGUGUGUGGGAUGUGCACAAGUAGUGCGUUUUCCUUACAUUUAAACCUCGUAACAAAUUCCCUGUUUUAGGUCAGUUAGUAUUACCGCUGUAUUUUAAGAAUGUGAAUGUGAAAUGUCAGAAUAAUAGUAGAGAGUGAUUUAUUUCAGCUUUUAUUUCUUUCAUCACAUUCCCAGUGGGUCAGAAGUUUACAUGCACUCAAUUAGUAUUUGGUAGCAUUGCCUUUAAAAUGUUUAACUUGGGUCAAAUGUUUUCGGCUAGCCUUCCACAAGCUUCCCAUAAUAACUCGGAUGAAUUUUGGCCCAUUCCUCCUGACCGAGCUGGUGUAACUGAGUCAGGUUUGUAGGCCUCCUUGCUCGCACACACUUUUUCAGUUCUGCCCACAAAUGUUCUAUAGGGCAAGCCAUUUUGCCACAAAUUUGGAAGUAUGCUUGGGGUCAUUGUCCACUUGGAAGACCCAUUUGCAACCAAGCUUUAACUUCCUGACUGAUGUCUUGAGAUGUUGCUUCAAUAUAUCCACACAAUUUUGCUCCCUCAUGAUGCCAUAUAUUUUCUGAAGUGCACCAGUCCCUCCUGCAGCAAAGCACCCCCACAACAUGAUGCUGCCACCCCCGUGCUUCACGGUUGGGAUGGCGUUCUUCGGCUUGCAAGCCUCCCCCUUUUUCCUCCAAACAUAACAAUGGUCAUUAUGGCCAAACAGUUCUAUUUUUGUUUCAUCAGACCAAAAGACAUUGCUCCAGACCAAAAGACAUGGCUUUUUUAUGGUGGUUUUGGAGCAUUGGCUGCUUCCUUGCUGAGUGGCCUUGCAGUUUAUGUUGAUAUAGGACUUGUUUUACUGUGGAUAUAGAUACUUUUGUACCGGUAUCCUCCAGCAUCUUCACAAGGUCCUUUGCUGUUGUUCUGGGAUUGAUUCGCACUUUUCGCACCAAAGUACGUUCAUCUCUAGGAGACAGAAAGCGUCUCCUUCCUGAGCGGUAUGACGGCUGUGUGGUCCCUUGGUGUUUAUAAUUGCGUACUAUUGUUUGUAGAGAUGAACAGAUUUCUCCCAAGGAUGAACCAGACUUGUGGAGGUCUACAAUUUAUUUUCUGGGUUCUUGGCUGAUUUCUUUUGAUUUUCCCAUUAUGUCAAGCAUAGAGGCACUGAGUUUGAAGGUAGGCCUUGAAAUACAUCCACAGGUAUACCUCCAAUUGGCUCAAAUUAUGUAAAUUAGCCUAUCAGAAGCAUCUAAAGCCAUGACAUAAUGUUCUAGAAUUGUCCAGGCUGUUUAAAGGCACAGUCAACUUAGUGUAUGUAAACUUCUGACCCACUGGAAUUGUGAUACAGUGAAAUAAUCUGUCUGUAAACAAUUGCUGGGAAAAUUACUUGUGUUAUGCACAAAGUAGAUAAGAGCACCAAAUCCAUGAUGCAUUGUGGGUAAAUUGUGACUGACAGGCUGAUCUACAAAUAAUAAUGAGUGCUUAUUUGUGAUGUAAGUCAAUUUGUAGAUCAGUCAGUCAGCAGUCGCCUGAAAUGUUGGCUGCAAUGUCAGACCAGCCCAACACUCCACACUGAACACAAACUCACUGAUGAAAACAGCUGUGCGAUGGUGACUAAAGGUGUCAUCUGCCUAUCCCGUCGUCCAAUGAGCAAGUCCGCCUGGUCGUCGACUCGUUUGGGAAGAUCAGUCACGUGGUCUCUGAUGGAUCCUGGGUAGUCAGGGUGCAGGCCGCCAAAACACUGAGUAACAUGUUGCAAGUCAGUCCUCACUUCCUUAAGCAGACUCUGGACAAGAAACUGAUGUCAGACCUCAGGGCGUAUCAGAUCGAAGUGAGGCUGCUGCUGGCCUGCAGCUCAUCUUGUCUCUAAGACAGCGUGGAGCGACAGCAGCAUUGAAGGCCUC